This 253-nucleotide ribosomal RNA is filed under the name uncultured bacterium. RNAcentral's name for it is "partial 16S ribosomal RNA". It matches the Rfam family "Bacterial small subunit ribosomal RNA", at positions 524 to 776 of the family's 1533-position model. The record is from RNAcentral.
UACGUAGGGGGCAAGCGUUGUCCGGAUUUAUUGGGCGUAAAGAGCGUGUAGGCGGCCAGACAGGUCCGUUGUGAAAACUCGAGGCUCAACCUCGAGAUGUCGGUUGAAACCGUCUGGCUAGAGUCCGGAAGAGGAGAGUGGAAUUCCCGGUGUAGCGGUGAAAUGCGCAGAUAUCGGGAAGAACACCCGUGGCGAAGGCGGCUCUCUGGGACGGUACUGACGCUGAGACGCGAAAGCGUGGGGAGCGAACAGG